RNAcentral lists this long non-coding RNA (235 nucleotides) under Lathyrus oleraceus (garden pea). Its description in RNAcentral is "Pisum sativum (pea) long non-coding RNA (PSAT_LNC022287)". Lineage: Eukaryota; Viridiplantae; Streptophyta; Magnoliopsida; Fabales; Fabaceae. The record is from RNAcentral.
UCAAACCUCUCUAGUCGCCUACAACUUGUCUUUGGAUAAUAUCAUCAUAGGAUAGAAAGCAUUCAUCCUUUAACAUGUUCAAAAUAUAGGUUUCGUGUGUGUCGCAUUGCGCGAAAAACCGGCGGGAAACAAGAACAACAGAGCCGCCACCGUGCGUUAUUUAUCCCAAAAGAGGGAAAGGAAACGCUCAGAGUAAACCUGGAAAAAGCAUGGUCUCACGACCAAAGAGAAUGGG